GGUGAUGAGAUCCAAGCGACAGUGUCUGCGGUGUGGUGGCAGGCAGGGAAUACCGGGACCUUACGAUGUACUUACAACUCCAAUGCCUCUUAUAUUUAUGUGGCCUGGUAUCGGCAGCAUCCCGGUGGACCGCUCCAGUACUUGCUGCAGAGCAAGGGCCGGGGAGGCUCCUAUAGCCACACAGCCCCUUUUGCUCGCAAGAGGUUUUCCUGCCAGGCUGACAAGAGCUCCGGGACACUGUUCAUCUCUGGGCUGGAGCUGGGGGACAGUGCGCUCUAUUACUGCACACUGCAGGGACCACAGUGGGAGACACUUGGGGCAUGUCUGAACAACAUCAGCUUCCUCCUCUCCAGCUGUCCCCUCCUGCAUGUUCGCAGGGAUCACGGCCCAUCGCAGUGGCAAGUCAGUGAGUAG
Nestor notabilis (Kea) is the source of this 414-nucleotide non-coding RNA. The record is from the annotation of a RefSeq genome assembly. Lineage: Eukaryota; Metazoa; Chordata; Aves; Psittaciformes; Psittacidae.